This 358-nucleotide long non-coding RNA is filed under the name Elaeis guineensis (African oil palm). RNAcentral describes it as "long non-coding RNA (EGUI_LNC042550)". The record is from RNAcentral. Lineage: Eukaryota; Viridiplantae; Streptophyta; Magnoliopsida; Arecales; Arecaceae.
GUUAUCAACAUGUUCAGCAAUUCGGACAAAGUGCAAUCAAUCUUAUUCUUAUGGUAGUUCUGAAGGAAAAGAAAACUUUUUCUCUUCGAAUAGUUCAAGUUGCGUCUAAAAAUUUUCUAUUAAUUUACAUGAAUAAGGAUCAAAUCCUUACUUGAUUAGUAGCAGAACCAAAGAUCAAAUCUCUAAAAAUCUGAAACAAACCUUCAUGGAGGCUUGAAAGUGUAGAUCCUCUACUUCGCAUACACGCCAGACGACAUAGAAAAGCGGGAUGAACUCCAAUCAAAUUACCUUCACAACCCAAUCAUACGAGGGAGGAGAGGCACUGGUGUGAUGCCUCACACAAGCAAAGGGACCCCCA